GCCUGGGUGGCUCAGAGGUUGAGCGUCUGCCUUUGGCGCAGGGUGUGAUCCUGGAGAUCCGGGAUGGAGUCCCACCUCAGGCU
This 83-nucleotide transfer RNA is filed under the name Canis lupus familiaris (dog). It matches the Rfam family "tRNA". From Rfam's summary of the family: Transfer RNA (tRNA) molecules are approximately 80 nucleotides in length. Their secondary structure includes four short double-helical elements and three loops (D, anti-codon, and T loops). Lineage: Eukaryota; Metazoa; Chordata; Mammalia; Carnivora; Canidae. The record is from Rfam by way of RNAcentral. RNAcentral also lists the same sequence under 1 other name.